Camelus dromedarius (Arabian camel) is the source of this 74-nucleotide small nucleolar RNA. Lineage: Eukaryota; Metazoa; Chordata; Mammalia; Artiodactyla; Camelidae. The record is from Ensembl.
UGGACAUCUGUGAUAACUGGUGCCCUGUGAGUCACACGUGAUGAGUAUUAUUGGCUUGGAACUCUGAGGGCCAG